AUUGAACGCUGGCGGCAGGCCUAACACAUGCAAGUCGAGCGGAUGAAGGGAGCUUGCUCCUGGAUUCAGCGGCGGACGGGUGAGUAAUGCCUAGGAAUCUGCCUGGUAGUGGGGGAUAACGUCCGGAAACGGGCGCUAAUACCGCAUACGUCCUGAGGGAGAAAGUGGGGGAUCUUCGGACCUCACGCUAUCAGAUGAGCCUAGGUCGGAUUAGCUAGUUGGUAGGGUAAAGGCCUACCAAGGCGACGAUCCGUAACAGGUCUGAGAGGAUGAUCAGUCACACUGGAACUGAGACACGGUCCAGACUCCUACGGGAGGCAGCAGUGGGGAAUAUUGGACAAUGGGCGAAAGCCUGAUCCAGCCAUGCCGCGUGUGUGAAGAAGGUCUUCGGAUUGUAAAGCACUUUAAGUUGGGAGGAAGGGCAGUAAGUUAAUACCUUGCUGUUUUGACGUUACCAACAGAAUAAGCACCGGCUAACUUCGUG
This 484-nucleotide ribosomal RNA is filed under the name uncultured bacterium. RNAcentral's name for it is "partial 16S ribosomal RNA". It matches the Rfam family "Bacterial small subunit ribosomal RNA", at positions 30 to 507 of the family's 1533-position model. The record is from RNAcentral.